CUCCUUUUGAACUCAUCGAAGCUCUACUUAAGUACAUUGAAACCCUUAAUGUUCCUGGAGCUGUGUUGGUUUUUUUGCCUGGCUGGAAUCUGAUUUAUACUAUGCAGAAGCAUUUGGAAAUGAAUCCACAUUUUGGAAGCCAUCGGUAUCAGAUUCUACCCCUGCAUUCUCAGAUUCCUCGAGAGGAACAACGCAAAGUGUUUGAUCCAGUACCAGUUGGAGUAACCAAGGUAAAUAUAAACAUUACAGUGAUGGGAUUGGAAGUGACAUAGAUACUAAACAAAUGUUACAAGCCUUCAAAGAGCUACCCAAAAAAUUGUAACCCACCUAAAUUGAGGAAGAAAAAAGGAGUCUUCUCUUUCUGAGCUUAGUAGACUAUUCAUUAAUCAGUUAUUGGGUGAUCUUUUUAGGACUUCUGUAAUUUUCUCGUCAUU
Molecule: small RNA, 434 nt
Filed under: Pongo abelii (Sumatran orangutan)
Lineage: Eukaryota; Metazoa; Chordata; Mammalia; Primates; Hominidae
Description: processed transcript
Source: RNAcentral